This 253-nucleotide ribosomal RNA is filed under the name uncultured bacterium. RNAcentral's name for it is "partial 16S ribosomal RNA". It matches the Rfam family "Bacterial small subunit ribosomal RNA", at positions 524 to 776 of the family's 1533-position model. The record is from RNAcentral.
UACGUAGGGGGCAAGCGUUGUCCGGAAUCAUUGGGCGUAAAGCGCGUGUAGGCGGCCCGAUAAGUCCGCUGUGAAAGUCCAGGGCUCAACCCUGGAAUGCCGGUGGAUACUGUCGGGCUCGAGUCCGGAAGAGGCGAGUGGAAUUCCUGGUGUAGCGGUGAAAUGCGUAGAUAUCAGGAGGAACACCGGUGGCGAAGGCGGCUCUCUGGACGGUGACUGACGCUGAGACGCGAAAGCGUGGGGAGCAAACAGG